RNAcentral lists this transfer RNA (72 nucleotides) under Cavia porcellus (domestic guinea pig). It matches the Rfam family "tRNA". Rfam says of the family: Transfer RNA (tRNA) molecules are approximately 80 nucleotides in length. The record is from Rfam by way of RNAcentral. Lineage: Eukaryota; Metazoa; Chordata; Mammalia; Rodentia; Caviidae.
GGGGAUGUGGCUCAGUGGUAGAGUUCUUGCCUUAUAUGCACAUGGCCCUGGGUUCAAACCCUAGCGCCACCA